ACACUUCUUAGAUGGUAGCACGGCAAUGAGCAUGCAGAAGCAGUGCUACUUUCAGUGCUGCCAUAGAAGGAUUGU
This is a microRNA precursor of Gallus gallus (chicken), 75 nucleotides long. NCBI's taxonomy places the organism in Eukaryota, Metazoa, Chordata, Aves, Galliformes, Phasianidae. The record is from Ensembl.